Pelobates cultripes (western spadefoot toad) is the source of this 210-nucleotide non-coding RNA. Lineage: Eukaryota; Metazoa; Chordata; Amphibia; Anura; Pelobatidae. The record is from the annotation of a GenBank genome assembly.
GGAGGCGGCGCCACAGGUGAAAAAAACCUGAUUAUAAACUAUACAGGCAUAUAUACAAGACACUAGAUAAGAGAGAAUACAGCCCAGACACAAGUGCAAAAGCUCAGGACAGCAACGGGGACACUGACUCAAUUCCUGGAGGAGAUAGCGGGCGAAUUCCGCACAUAUUACCAGACGCUGUACAAUAUCCAACCUGCAGCGGAAGAUAGG